This 372-nucleotide ribosomal RNA is filed under the name uncultured Methanosaeta sp. RNAcentral's name for it is "bacterial SSU rRNA". It matches the Rfam family "Archaeal small subunit ribosomal RNA", at positions 970 to 1338 of the family's 1478-position model. The record is from RNAcentral. Lineage: Archaea; Methanobacteriati; Methanobacteriota; Methanomicrobia; Methanotrichales; Methanotrichaceae.
ACCCGAUUAGCUGAGAGGUGGUGCAUGGCCGUCGUCAGUUCGUACUGUGAAGCAUCCUGUUAAGUCAGGCAACGAGCGAGACCCACGUCCACAGUUGCCAGCAUACCCCUCCGGGGUGAUGGGGUACACUGUGGGAGACCGCCGCUGCUAAAGCGGAGGAAGGAGUGGGCAACGGUAGGUCAGUAUGCCCCGAAUCUCCCGGGCUACACGCGGGCUACAAUGGUUGGUACAAUGGGCAUCUACCCCGAAAGGGGAAGGAAAUCUCUUAAAGCCAAUCGUAGUUCGGAUUGAGGGCUGCAACUCGCCCUCAUGAAGCUGGAAUCCGUAGUAAUCGCGUUUCAACAGAACGCGGUGAAUACGUCCCUGCUCCUU